This 548-nucleotide long non-coding RNA is filed under the name Pongo abelii (Sumatran orangutan). Its description in RNAcentral is "lincRNA". Lineage: Eukaryota; Metazoa; Chordata; Mammalia; Primates; Hominidae. The record is from RNAcentral.
UAUAGUACGCAUCAGUAUGGUUGGAAAAGCUUCUUCUAUCAAGUUUAACAACUUUCUGGUGUAACUUCUGAGAGGGCUGAUUGCUUAUUCAUUCGGAAGCAAGACGCCCAGUUCAUUUUGCCCGUUUUUGCUACUCUUUGUUGGGUUUGGGAGGCUGUUAUGGUAGCUGCAAAUGGCUUCUCAAGUGACAUUUGCUGACAUUCAGUGAAGUACAUUUAUCAGUAUUCACCAGCUCACCUCUACACAUGCAAUCCAUUUUGUUUUGUUCUUCAUAGCAAACUCCUUUCCGACACCCGUGCCCUGAAAAUGAUAAAUGGCAAGGUGGCAUAUUUCUGAAGCUGAACUCAAAUGUCACUGUGAAAAAUCUUUAAUGGACUAAGUGUAGCUUUUCACGUUACAACUUGUCAGGUUUGACCUCCUGUCUCUUGGGUUGAGAAACCAUCCCCUCUGAUUCCUGGCCCCCUGUGACCCCUCCAAAGCCCUCUGUACAGGUCUUUGGCCACACAGAGAUUCAACAAUCUAAUAAUCUAAAAUUGUAAAUGCCACAA